CCUACGGGUGGCAGCAGUGAGGAAUAUUGGUCAAUGGACGAGAGUCUGAACCAGCCAAGUAGCGUGAAGGAUGACUGCCCUAUGGGUUGUAAACUUCUUUUAUAUGGGAAUAAAAUGUUCCACGUGUGGGAUUUUGUAUGUACCAUAUGAAUAAGGAUCGGCUAACUCCGUGCCAGCAGCCGCGGUAAUACGGAGGAUCCGAGCGUUAUCCAGAUUUAUUGGGUUUAAAGGGAGCGUAGGUGGAUUGUUAAGUCAGUUGUGAAAGUUUGCGGCUCAACCGUAAAAUUGCAGUUGAAACUGGCAGUCUUGAGUACAGUAGAGGUGGGCGGAAUUCGUGGUGUAGCGGUGAAAUGCUGAGAUAUCACGAAGAACUCCGAUUGCGAAGGCAGUUCACUGGACUGCAACUGACACUGAGGCUCGAAAGUGUGGGUAUCAAACAGGAUUAGAUACCCGGGUAGUC
RNAcentral lists this ribosomal RNA (460 nucleotides) under uncultured bacterium. RNAcentral describes it as "partial 16S ribosomal RNA". It matches the Rfam family "Bacterial small subunit ribosomal RNA", at positions 338 to 795 of the family's 1533-position model. The record is from RNAcentral.